Molecule: non-coding RNA, 74 nt
Organism: Myotis davidii
Lineage: Eukaryota; Metazoa; Chordata; Mammalia; Chiroptera; Vespertilionidae
Source: Rfam
CUUGGGGAAGGGGGUUCCCUCGGCCCGGAUUGCAAGAGGGUUCAGACCAGGCCGAGGGACCCCACCAGUGCAUG